AGAGUUUGAUCAUGGCUCAGGACGAACGCUGGCGGCGUGCCUAAUACAUGCAAGUCGAGCGGACAGAUAAGGAGCUUGCUCCUUUGACGUUAGCGGCGGACGGGUGAGUAACACGUGGGCAACCUACCCUAUAGUUUGGGAUAACUCCGGGAAACCGGGGCUAAUACCAAAUAAUCUUUUGUCUCUCAUGAGACAAUUCUGAAAGACGGUUUCGGCUGUCGCUAUAGGAUGGGCCCGCGGCGCAUUAGCUAGUUGGUGAGGUAACGGCUCACCAAGGCAACGAUGCGUAGCCGACCUGAGAGGGUGAUCGGCCACACUGGGACUGAGACACGGCCCAGACUCCUACGGGAGGCAGCAGUAGGGAAUCUUCCACAAUGGGCGAAAGCCUGAUGGAGCAACGCCGCGUGAGUGAAGAAGGAUUUCGGUUCGUAAAACUCUGUUGUAAGGGAAGAACAAGUACAGUAGUAACUGGCUGUACCUUGACGGUACCUUAUUAGAAAGCCACGGCUAACUACGUGCCAGCAGCCGCGGUAAUACGUAGGUGGCAAGCGUUGUCCGGAUUUAUUGGGCGUAAAGGGAACGCAGGCGGUCUUUUAAGUCUGAUGUGAAAGCCUUCGGCUUAACCGGAGAUGUGCAUUGGAAACUGGAAGACUUGAGUGCAGAAGAGGAGAGUGGAACUCCAUGUGUAGCGGUGAAAUGCGUAGAUAUAUGGAAGAACACCAGUGGCGAAAGCGGCUCUCUGGUCUGUAACUGACGCUGAGGUUCGAAAGCGUGGGUAGCGAACAGGAUUAGAUACCCUGGUAGU
RNAcentral lists this ribosomal RNA (805 nucleotides) under uncultured bacterium. Its description in RNAcentral is "bacterial SSU rRNA". It matches the Rfam family "Bacterial small subunit ribosomal RNA", at positions 8 to 794 of the family's 1533-position model. The record is from RNAcentral.